This 657-nucleotide ribosomal RNA is filed under the name Bubaris cf. carcisis CM-2010. RNAcentral's name for it is "eukaryotic LSU rRNA". It matches the Rfam family "Eukaryotic large subunit ribosomal RNA", at positions 659 to 1290 of the family's 3401-position model. The record is from RNAcentral. Lineage: Eukaryota; Metazoa; Porifera; Demospongiae; Bubarida; Bubaridae.
ACACGGAUCAAGGAGUGCAACACGCGUGCGAGUCUGUGGGUGAGUGAGACCCCCCGGCGCAAUGAGAGUGAAGGCAGACGUGUGGUCCGCCGAGGCAGGAGCCGUUCCUUCCGUUCGGCCCACUGUCGACCGAUCCGUGUCACGCUGUGGCGGGAUUCGAGUGAGAGCGUGCCUGUUGCGACCCGAAAGAUGGUGAACUAUGCCUGAAUAGGGCGAAGCCAGAGGAAACUCUGGUGGAAGCUCGCAGCGGUUCUGACGUGCAAAUCGAUCGUCAAAUUUGGGUAUAGGGGCGAAAGACUAAUCGAACCAUCUAGUAGCUGGUUCCCUCCGAAGUUUCCCUCAGGAUAGCUGGAGCCCGGAGCAGUUUUAUCAGGUAAAGCGAAUGAUUAGAGGUCUUGGGGUUGAAACAACCUCAACCUAUUCUCAAACUUUAAAUGGGUAAGAAGUCCGGCUUGCUCGGUUGAAGUCGGACGGUGGAAUGCCGGGGCUCCCAGUGGGCCAUUUUUGGUAAGCAGAACUGGCGAUGCGGGAUGAACCGAACGCCGGGUUAAGGUGCCCGAAUCGACGCUCAUCAGAUCCCAUGAAAGGUGUUGGUUGAUCUAGACAGCAGGACGGUGGCCAUGGAAGUCGGAAUCCGCUAAGGAGUGUGUAACAACU